CUCCUAAUGGCCUUUCUUUUCCUUCCUUUCCUGUAAAUAGUUCUUACCGCAACUACACCCUGAAGUAAGGAGUUUGUACAAAGGAGUCUUUCUUUUCUCCCCGGGAAGUCUCGGAAGGGAAACCUUCUAGCUUUGUGAUACUUUGAUCGUGGCUUGGGGAGAUUAUGGCUCCAUUUCGGGUGAUUUUCGACGUCGCGCCGAGGAGCCGUCCGAGCAUACGUGCGUCGCCGUAGUUUAGCGAGGAGGCCGGGCGAGGGAGCGUUUUCGUCGUUCUCGACGCCGUGCCGGAAUUGGAGUCACUGGUUGAGGAUUUUGUCGUCGACUGUUAGUAUCUCAGCUCGUACGCGACGUAGGAGCAUCGGAUUUCAACGAGAUUUGGUUCGUUGGAACCGGGGCUUCGAGACGAAUCCAUAGGAUCCUUACUCGCCCGAUUUGGAGAAGGAGUGUCGAAACGCGACGAAAUUUGAUGUGCUAGAUUCGCGACUUCGAGACGAAGAUUCUGAGUCCAAGAUCGUGAUUUUUGGAGCAGGUUCCAGCGUCGACGUUUCGUAUUCUGGCCCGUUCUCUGCGUAGGAACGUCGGAUUGCGACGAGGCUUGGUUCGUUGGAUUCGGAACUUCGAGAGGAAUCCACGAAGCCCUCACUUGCCAGAUUUGGUGAAGGUUAGCUCGGUCGAAUCCCGUUCCUACUCAGCUGCUGUGAAUUUCUGGACUGAAUCGAGGAUCCUUAAUUGUUUAGCUUGGCGUUAGCUCGUCCACCGGACUUGGAGGUCCCCAGUUGAUCCAGCAGAGGUUGUCCUGGUUCGAGGCUUCGUUCGCUGCCUGGAUUUAGCUUUUGAGGUAACCUAAACCUGGACUUAGGAUGAAAUCAGAUGUCUUUUAUGGCAAUAUCACUUGAGACACAGUAUCGGUGCACAAGACUCUCCUGGCGUACAGUUUUCAGAGAACCCCGCUCCUACGCCGCAAAGCACUCUCUGGCUAUCAAUGGCGAAAUUUACAGAGCAUUUCUCUUAUCAAAUCUGCCAAGCGUAUAUGCUUCACACUUGCUCAGGAUGAAAUAUUUACCAUAAAGAUAUUAAGGAAUUUCAUGAAGAGUUCAAGGAAAGGGUUUCAUGGAGCAAAGAAAAUGCCAUGGAUACAAGAGUUCGAGAAAUAUAAUAAAACAAGAGAUAAAACUUACAUCACAAAGCUAGAAGGUUUCCCUUCCGGGACUUCCCGGGGGGGGAAGAAAGACUCCUUUGUACAGACUCCUUACUUCAAGGUGUAGUUGCGGUAAGAACUAUUUACAGGAAAGGAAGGAAAAGAAAGGCCAUUGAGAAUAUUUGUGGAGGUAGGAUGCUCUCCUAUAUAAUUGUCUCUUUUUCUUGGCGACGAAUUGAUCUUCCUUAAUGUGCUUCUUCUUUUUCUAUCUUCUCUCGUUUUGUCUAAUUGUUUUUUGAUGUUCCGAAUGCAUUCCUUUUAUAGGCGAAGUGGGAAGGAGCGGCCAAAUGCAGGAGGAGGAAGGAUCCUGCAAAACGUUAAAUUGGCGGGGUCCACAAUUCUGUUGUUUUCUUCAGAGGAAGCUUCGAGGCGGAUUCGUUAUUGCGGUGGGGCCCACUGUUUUGUAAAUUGAUGCCCAUGGUUUUGAUGCACUUCAGGGGAGUCUUAAUUAAUUGAAGUGGGGGCCACGCGAAUAAUCCGUCAUUUGUUUUGUCCGUGAGUGGGAAGUUUCACAAAAAUUUUGUAGUGUCCUGUGGUUGUCAUUUAGCAGUCACGAGUCACCAUUGUAGGAUGUUUCUUGAAUACCUUGGUUUUUGGUUGGUAGUGGAUCUCUUCUAAUGUAGAGAACGCCCGGUUUUGAUGAUGGUGGAGUUUGGACAAGAGGGUGUUCGAUCAUGGAGUUGCAUCAGAAGGUGUUUGGUGGUGAAGUUUGAGAAGAAGGUGUUACCAUUCAAAUAAAAUCCUAAACUAAGAACCCUUAUUUUUGCCUGUGAUAAAA
Molecule: long non-coding RNA, 1976 nt
Organism: Ananas comosus (pineapple)
Lineage: Eukaryota; Viridiplantae; Streptophyta; Magnoliopsida; Poales; Bromeliaceae
Exons: 6
Source: RefSeq, a predicted model, not a curated record